RNA transcript from Neltuma alba, 1650 nucleotides. It is a transcript of the gene named protein ENHANCED DISEASE RESISTANCE 2, with no coding region annotated. The record is from RefSeq and is a predicted model, not a curated record. The transcript is spliced from 3 exons. NCBI's taxonomy places the organism in Eukaryota, Viridiplantae, Streptophyta, Magnoliopsida, Fabales, Fabaceae.
UCCGGGGAAGGAAAAUAAAGUGAUUCUGUUUUCUCUCUUUCCUUCUUUGACGGGAAAUUUGAUUCUUUGAAGAGAUUAAGGGGAAAAAAUAGAAAAGGACUCACCUCUUUAUCCCUUUGGUCCUCGGCCUCCAUACCAUCCAGUUGCAAAAUUUCAUGGCCAAUCCCUAAUAUCAGGUCUCGUUUCUUGUCUAAUUGUUCGUUAACUCGGUGCAGAGCCUUGUCACUUCCCCGAAGUCUCUUGGUUGGCAUUUUCGAGUUACUCAGACAGCUGGGAAACAGGAGUUUUAAUGGCCUGCGUUGGUGACACAAAAGAACCUGAAUGGAUAGAUAGAAUAAGAUCUGAAGGAGCCAUUCCGCUUCUUGAACCAGAUAACUGUAGCAAUGGUUGGGCUUCCCCACCUGGAGAUUCAUUCAUGGUUAGGGGUCCUGAGUACUUUACAACCAGGGUCAAGAUUCCUGCUGGUGAAUAUUUGCUCAAGCCUCUUGGAUUUGAUUGGAUUAAAAGCUCAGUGAAGAUUGGGGAGAUCAUGGGCCAUCCAAAUUGCCGAGUUAGGAAGGUCAUUGAUGAUGAGUUUUCAGCUGGCGAUAAGCCUUUUGUGUGGGCAUUCAAUCUUCAACUCCCAACCAAGGACAACUAUAGUGCCAUAGCAUACUUUACAACUAAAGAGCCUAUCCCAGAGGGGUCAUUAAUGGACAAGUUCUUGAAAGGUGAUGACGCAUUCAAAAAUUCAAGGCUUAAGCUGAUUGCUAACAUUGUUAAAGGUCCGUGGAUUGUUAAAAAAGCUGUUGGAGAACAAGCCAUUUGCAUAAUUGGGCGUGCCCUAACCUGUAAAUACUGUACGGGAGAAAAUUUCUUAGAAGUAGAUAUUGAUAUUGGUUCCUCCAUGGUUGCAAGUGCAAUAGUUCAUUUGGCAUUUGGUUAUGUUUCAACUCUGACUGUUGAUUUGGCUUUUCUUAUUGAGAGCCAAGCAGAAUAUGAACUUCCAGAAAAACUCUUAGGUGCUGUCAGAUUUUCUGACCUGGAUCCUGCUUCUGCUAGGACACUAGAGCCCUCAUCUUUGAUGAGUGCAAAUAAUUUACAAUCAUCUUUGCCAACGAGAUUGUGGAAGUCAAUCGGGCAGGGGUUUACUCAUAUUCUUAAUUCGGGUUCUCAAGAAGGUGCCUCUCCUACCCCUGGCUCAUAACAUGCUAAACUGUAGAACACCACGAGGACAAUUAGGGUGGCCUCAAGUAAUGAUUUGCUGGAUGUAGAAGAAUGAAGUUUCAUUUGAGUUGGUUCUUCUUGAAAUUUUCUUACGGUGGCCUUUAGAUUAUUCGUCCGGUGACUUCGUUCCUACCUAUCCUGGAGCUUUCUAUGGCCGCAGAGUUUGAAUUCCGAGCUGGAUAUCAUGCAUAUAUCAUUUAUAGCACUUUUGACAUUUGCAUUUGACCAUUGAAACCGUGACUUUGUUCCUUGUAUUUUAUAUGGCCACAGAAAUUCAGAGUGCCUCAUUCUUUUUCUGUAUAUUAUGUAAACUUUCUUUUAGUAAUUCGUUCCAACAAUCAAUAUAGUAGAUAUAAGUAGAAUGAAUAUAUAUUGUUAAUUUACUUAUUUUUUUAGAAGAUGGAAACAGAGUUGAUUCGUUGUAAUUUAAAAAAUUGUUUUUCC